UAGGGAAUCUUCCGCAAUGGACGCAAGUCUGACGGAGCAACGCCGCGUGAGUGAAGAAGGAUUUCGGUUCGUAAAACUCUGUUGUUAGAGAAGAACAGCGUAUAGAGUAACUGUUAUGCGUGUGACGGUAUCUAACCAGAAAGCCACGGCUAACUACGUGCCAGCAGCCGCGGUAAUACGUAGGUGGCAAGCGUUAUCCGGAAUUAUUGGGCGUAAAGCGCGCGUAGGCGGUUUUUUAAGUCUGAUGUGAAAGCCCACGGCUCAACCGUGGAGGGUCAUUGGAAACUGGAAAACUUGAGUGCAGAAGAGGAAAGUGGAAUUCCAUGUGUAGCGGUGAAAUGCGCAGAGAUAUGGAGGAACACCAGUGGCGAAGGCGACUUUCUGGUCUGUAACUGACGCUGAUGUGCGAAAGCGUGGGGAUCAAACAGG
This 429-nucleotide ribosomal RNA is filed under the name Bacteroidota bacterium. RNAcentral's name for it is "Bacteroidetes bacterium partial 16S ribosomal RNA". It matches the Rfam family "Bacterial small subunit ribosomal RNA", at positions 355 to 776 of the family's 1533-position model. The record is from RNAcentral. Lineage: Bacteria; Pseudomonadati; Bacteroidota.